UACGGAGGAUGCGAGCGUUAUCCGGAUUUAUUGGGUUUAAAGGGUGCGUAGGCGGAUUUUUAAGUCAGCGGUAAAAUGUCCGGGCUCAACCCGGGCCGGCCGUUGAAACUGGGGAUCUUGAGUGGGCGAGAAGUAUGCGGAAUGCGUGGUGUAGCGGUGAAAUGCAUAGAUAUCACGCAGAACUCCGAUUGCGAAGGCAGCAUACCGGCGCCCGACUGACGCUGAGGCACGAAAGCGUGGGGAUCGAACGGG
This 252-nucleotide ribosomal RNA is filed under the name uncultured bacterium. Its description in RNAcentral is "partial 16S ribosomal RNA". It matches the Rfam family "Bacterial small subunit ribosomal RNA", at positions 524 to 776 of the family's 1533-position model. The record is from RNAcentral.